GGGCUCAUAGCUCAACGGAUAGAGCACAGGGUUGCGGACCCUGGUGUGAGGGUUCGAUUCCCUCUGAGCCCU
This 72-nucleotide transfer RNA is filed under the name bacterium. RNAcentral's name for it is "tRNA-Arg". It matches the Rfam family "tRNA". Rfam says of the family: Transfer RNA (tRNA) molecules are approximately 80 nucleotides in length. Their secondary structure includes four short double-helical elements and three loops (D, anti-codon, and T loops). The record is from RNAcentral. RNAcentral also lists the same sequence under 6 other names.